GAUGAACGCUAGCGGCAGGCUUAAUACAUGCAAGUCGUGGGGCAGCAUGAGUAGCAAUACUUGAUGGCGACCGGCAAACGGGUGAGGAACACGUACACAACCUUCCUUCAAGCGGGGAAUAGCCCAGAGAAAUUUGGAUUAAUACCCCAUAAUAUAUUUGAUAAGGCAUCUUAUUAAUAUUAAAGCUUCGGCACUUGAUGAUGGGUGUGCGGCUGAUUAGAUAGUUGGCGGGGUAACGGCCCACCAAGUCUACGAUCAGUAGCUGAUGUGAGAGCAUGAUCAGCCACACGGGCACUGAGACACGGGCCCGACUCCUACGGGAGGCAGCAGUAAGGAAUAUUGGACAAUGGACGAAAGUCUGAUCCAGCCAUGCCGCGUGAAGGAUUAAGGUCCUCUGGAUUGUAAACUUCUUUAUAUGGGACGAAAAAGGGCAUUCUUGUUCACUUGACGGUACCAUAUGAAUAAGCACGGCUAACUCCGUGCCAG
Molecule: ribosomal RNA, 486 nt
Filed under: uncultured bacterium
Lineage: Bacteria
Description: bacterial SSU rRNA
Rfam family: Bacterial small subunit ribosomal RNA
Source: RNAcentral